RNAcentral lists this transfer RNA (72 nucleotides) under Fomitiporia mediterranea MF3/22. RNAcentral describes it as "tRNA-Pro (TGG) (tRNA-Pro-TGG-1-1)". It matches the Rfam family "tRNA". From Rfam's summary of the family: Transfer RNA (tRNA) molecules are approximately 80 nucleotides in length. Their secondary structure includes four short double-helical elements and three loops (D, anti-codon, and T loops). Lineage: Eukaryota; Fungi; Basidiomycota; Agaricomycetes; Hymenochaetales; Hymenochaetaceae. The record is from RNAcentral.
GGUUGUGUGGUCUAGAGGUAUGAUACCUGCUUUGGGUGCAGGUGGCCCGGAGUUCGAUCCUCCGCUCAACCC